Molecule: small nucleolar RNA, 123 nt
Filed under: Echinops telfairi (small Madagascar hedgehog)
Lineage: Eukaryota; Metazoa; Chordata; Mammalia; Afrosoricida; Tenrecidae
Description: Small nucleolar RNA SNORA22 (ENSETEG00000024819.1)
Source: RNAcentral
UCGCACAGUGAGCACCUGAGUGUGCUUUGUCGUUCCCUUGGCCUUGACACUGUGCUAGAGCAAUGUCUGGUCAUUUCCUCUGCAUUGAAAGGCACGUUCAUCCAUGAGUGAGAAGUGACUUAG